UACAGAGGUGGCAAGCGUUGUUCGGAAUUACUGGGCGUAAAGGGCGCGUAGGCGGCCACCGCAAGUCAAUUGUGAAAUCUCCGGGCUUAACUCGGAAAGGUCAACUGAUACUGCGGGGCUAGAGUGCGGAAGGGGCAACUGGAAUUCUCGGUGUAGCGGUGAAAUGCGUAGAUAUCAGGAGGAAUACCGAUGGCGAAGGCAGGUCUCUGGGCUGACACUGACGCUCAUGCACGAAAGCGUGGGGAGCAAACAGG
RNAcentral lists this ribosomal RNA (254 nucleotides) under uncultured bacterium. Its description in RNAcentral is "partial 16S ribosomal RNA". It matches the Rfam family "Bacterial small subunit ribosomal RNA", at positions 524 to 776 of the family's 1533-position model. The record is from RNAcentral.